Molecule: ribosomal RNA, 850 nt
Filed under: uncultured archaeon
Lineage: Archaea
Description: SSU rRNA
Rfam family: Archaeal small subunit ribosomal RNA
Source: RNAcentral
UCCCAGCAGUCCGAAUUGCAGCUUAUUAUUGGGUCUAAAACAUCCGUAGCUUGUCUGUUAAGUUUCCUGUGAAAUCCCACCUCUCAAGGAUGGGGCGUGCAGGGAGUACUGGCAGACUAGGGACCGGCAGGUGUAAGAAGUACAUUCGAGGUAGUGGUAAAAUACGUUAAUCUCGAGUGGACUAACAAUUUAGCGAAGGCAUCUUACAAGGACGGAUCCGACAGUGAGGGAUGAAGGCUAGGGGCGCAAAAUGGAUUAGAUACCCAUGUAGUCCUAGCAGUAAACCCUGCUCACUAAACAUCGGUGCCUCUUCGGGAGGCGUCGGUGCUGAAGCGAAGGCGAAGAGCGAGCUACCUGGGAAGUAUAGUCGCAAGAUCGAAACUUAAAGGAAUUGGCGGGGAGACACUACAACGAGUGACGCGUACGGUUCAAUCAGAUUCUACACCGUGAACCUCACCAGGAGCGACAGCAGAAUGAAGGUCAGUCUGAAGGGCUUACCUGACACGCUGAGCGGAAUUACAUAGUCGUCGUCAGCCUGUGUCGUGAGAUGACCAGUUAAAUCUGGUAACAGGCGAGACCCGUGUGCAUAAUUACUACCGAAAGGAGAACAUUAUGCAGACUGCCUAGGUAACUAGGAGGAAGGCGCGGGCUACGAUAGGUGGCAUGAUCCUAAUCCCCUGGGCUACACGCGCGCGGCAAUGACGGACUCAAUGAGAUGCAACACCGAAAGGUGAAGCUAACCCCAUAAUGUCCGCCCCAGUACUGAUUGAGGGCUGCAACCCGCCCUCAUGACGCCGGAAUUCGUAGUAAUCGUUUAUUAGCAAUGAACGGUGAAUAUGUCCCUGUCUCU